ACUCCUACGGGAGGCAGCAGUGGGGAAUAUUGCGCAAUGGGCGAAAGCCUGACGCAGCAACGCCGCGUGUGUGAUGAAGGCUCUCGGGUCGUAAAGCACUGUCAGAAGGGAAGAAAUAAAUGACGGUACCUUCAAAGGAAGCACCGGCUAACUCCGUGCCAGCAGCCGCGGUAAUACGGAGGGUGCAAGCGUUGUUCGGAAUCAUUGGGCGUAAAGCGCGCGCAGGCGGUUUGCCAAGUCUGAUGUGAAAGCCCGGGGCUCAACCUCGGAACUGCAUUGGAAACUGGUAGACUUGAGUAUGUGAGGGGUCAGUGGAAUUCCUGGUGUAGGGGUGAAAUCCGUAGAGAUCAGGAGGAACACCGGUGGCGAAGGCGACUGACUGGAACAUAACUGACGCUGAGGCGCGAAAGCGUGGGUAGCAAACAGGAUUAGAUACCCUGGUAGUC
RNAcentral lists this ribosomal RNA (446 nucleotides) under uncultured bacterium. RNAcentral's name for it is "bacterial SSU rRNA". It matches the Rfam family "Bacterial small subunit ribosomal RNA", at positions 335 to 795 of the family's 1533-position model. The record is from RNAcentral.